UCCAGCUGAUUCCCUCCUUUCCAGCUGAUUCCCUCAGCUCCACCCUGCCUUCCUUUGUGCCACUGGGGAGCCCUGGAGAUCAAAUCCACCCUUCUGGAGCCAAAGGAAAAGCUCCUGCUCUGAUGAAGGUUUCCCCUGAAGGCUCUCCAGAGGCAGGCUUGUAUUUGGGAGCAUCAGCAAACCUGGCAGAGGAUUUGUCUUCGUGGGCAGGGACAGAGUGACUUUCACCCAGAGGUCCGUCCUUGGUCCACCUGGACAUGAAGCCAUCCUGGAGCACCCAGAACAUCUCUACAGGUAUGAUCUGAAGCAGUUGUGUAAAAAAUGACAACAAAACCUUAUUGCUGUGUUUGAGAAAGGUCCAAAUCCAGCUUUUUGGAGCUUCAACUACAGGAAGAUACUGGAUAAUGAUACAGAUCUUUAUGCACAGGAAGAUACUGGAUAAUGAUACAGAUUUUAGGCACAGGAAGAUACUGGAUAAUGAUAAGGAUCUUUAUGCACAGGAAGAUAUUGGAUAAUGGUAAGGAUCUUUAUACACAGGAAGAUACUGGGUAAUGGUAAGGAUCCUUAGCCCAAGGAACUAAAGGAGAGGAAAUGCUUUAGGGAUGGAAGAAUAAAACUCUAUUUAGGGAUGGAAGGGCUGUAGAAGCAGCUGGGAAAGUCUGGGAGAAGGUGUCAUGAUUUGGGAUAGCUGUGGCAUCCCAGGAUAACCAGAGCCAGAGCAGCCCAGGAGGGACAAAGGCAGCAUCAAGCCCCCAGUCUCACAUUCUCCCUCUGCUGAAAUCCUACAAUUCUUGGGAAAAAACAAGUGGAGAGGUGAGGAGAAGGCAACCUUGGCCACUCCUGGCACAAAAUCCCAGUGUGACCAUCCCCACUCUGCCCACGCGAAGAUGCCUCCCAUUCCUACGUGAGCUGGCACAGCUUCCAGAGGCCUCAGGAGAUGCAGAGGAGGAUUCACCAUGUGACACCCAGCUGUUUAUGGCAAGGGCUCACUGGUGACCUCCAGGCAAAAUCUUGGCUCUGUAAGAAGUUCCUUUCACAGUGAAACUGGAGGAGUAAAAUGGAUGAGGCCCAGGAAGAUGCAAAGAAACAAGGGUUGAGGUGGGACAGGAAAUAAGGGUUGAGAUGGGGAAGAAAUAAGGGUUGAAAUGGGGAAGAAAUAAGGUUGAGGUGGGACAGGAAAUAAAGGUUCAGAUGGGGAAGAAAUAAGAGUUGGGAUGGAAAAAGAAAUAAGGGUUGAGAGGGGGCAAGAAAUAAGGGUUGAGGUGGGAGAAGAAAUAAGAGUUGGAAUGGAACAAGAAAUAAGGGUUGGGAUGGGGAAGAAAUAAGGGUUGAAAUGGGGAAGAAAUAAGGGUUGAAAUGGGGAAGAAAUAAGGGUUGAGAUGGGACAGGAAAUAAGGGUUGAGGUGGGACAUGAAAUAAGGGCUGAGGUGGGACAAGAAAUAAGAGUUGGGAUGGAACAAGAAAUUAGGGUUGAGAUGGGACAAAAAUAAGGGUUGGGAUGGGACAGGAAAUAAGGGUUGGGAUGGAACAAGAAAUUAGGGUUGAGAUGGGACAAGAAAUAAGGGUUGAGGUGGGACAAAAAUAAAGGUUGGGAUGGGACAGGAAAUAAGGGUUGAGAUGGGACAAGAAAUAAGAGUUGGGAUGGGACAAGAAAUAAGAUUUGGGAUGGAACAAGAAAUAAGAGUUGGGAUGGGACAAGAAAUAAGGGUUGAGGUGCUCUGUGGUUGCAAAGUGGAGGAUCUACAGUCACUGUGCAUAAGAAAAAUCAAACCCCACACAGGCAGUUAAAUCUGUCAUGAAAAAAGCAGGACUGGCAGAAGGGGGAGAGUUAUUAACUGUGAGCAUUGGUUGCUACUUGGUUUUUUUUUCCUGGGAAACAGGGCUUUGUGGGCAUCCUUUGUAAAUAGGAUCUCAGCAAAGGGUCUCUCUGAUGUUGUCAUUAAUUUUUUCCUCCUUCUGUAGCUCAAAUGGUGCCAUAGAAUGUGCUCCUAGGGAAAAAAAAAAGAAAAAAGAUAAAUUGCUUGAAGAAAAAAA
Molecule: long non-coding RNA, 2034 nt
Organism: Neopelma chrysocephalum (saffron-crested tyrant-manakin)
Lineage: Eukaryota; Metazoa; Chordata; Aves; Passeriformes; Pipridae
Exons: 4
Source: RefSeq, a predicted model, not a curated record